GCACUCUUUAUAAAUAUUUGUAAAAUUUGGAUCGUCCUUGUAUCGAUCUAUAAUCAACUCAAAUCUCAUUAGUUUAGCAUUAAGCAAUGAAAUCAAAGCAUACCUCCUGAAAAGUGCAUCAGCUACGAUAUUGACAUUUUCUUUUUUGUAUUUGAUCACAUAAGGAAAGAUUUUCAAGAAUUUCAUCCACUUGGUAUGUCUA
This 202-nucleotide long non-coding RNA is filed under the name Elaeis guineensis (African oil palm). RNAcentral's name for it is "long non-coding RNA (EGUI_LNC080458)". The record is from RNAcentral. Lineage: Eukaryota; Viridiplantae; Streptophyta; Magnoliopsida; Arecales; Arecaceae.